Molecule: non-coding RNA, 73 nt
Organism: Asterias rubens (European starfish)
Lineage: Eukaryota; Metazoa; Echinodermata; Asteroidea; Forcipulatida; Asteriidae
Source: the annotation of a RefSeq genome assembly
GUCUCGGUGGUCUAGUUGGUAAGACACUGCUCUAGUAUAGCAAAGGUCGUGGGUUCGAAUCCAACCCGAGUCC